GCUCACACAGGUUUGUUCCUGCAUGCACUUCUACAGCAUCUUCCCAUGUCAAAUUAGGCUCUCUCACACCAGCAGUUGUUUCCUAAGGCUGAAAACGGAAGUACUCUUUGUCCUGCUGAAUUGUUUCCUCAAAAGUGUCUCCAAGGAGGGUAACUGGGAGAGGACUGACGUCCCAUUCCACCAUGCGCUUCCUGAGACUACAGCCAGCUCUAAGAAGCCUCAAAGGAGGAUUCCAGGAAAACAGUUUUCUCUGUUGUAUGAGAGAGAUCAUGGCUCUCAGGGGUGGGCGGGCCACAUGGCGAAAGCUCUUUCCCACUCAGUAACUGAAGGCCCCCAGUACUAAAAGUAGCUGGAAGCCUUGAGCCUGUGCUCCAGUUUUGCCUUCACGAUGAAAAGGAGAGCGAUGACCUAGGAGCACAGCGAGCUGAGUAGGGGUGGGGUGGAGCGGUCCAGUAGCACCUGUAUGAUUUAAGUUCAGAAAAUGAUACUGGUCACAAAUCACCGCAGAAACGAUGCUUUUGCCCAGAAGAGUAAGCAGGUCUUACGUGGAGAUACAGCGUUUUUGAAUGAGAGCGGGAAGGGAACAGGUGGCAGAGAAAAACUAGCACUGAACGGGAGCGGGCUUUCAGGCACUCAGGAAAACUCAUCCCGUGGGACGCCUGUAAGGUGUUCCAGUUCCUUCCAGUCUGUGGACGCCAGCUGGAGGAACUUACUAUCCCACAAGGGCUCGUAAACACUGCAGCGAUGGGCAAAGAAUAAUUUUCUGCUCUGUAGGUUUCGAGAGAACUGGAAUGAAAAUCCAGAACACCAGAUUCCGUUUACAUGUACGUAGGACGGCACCAACACAAAUGAUGGUGGCCCGCAGAGCUACCGGUGCUCCUGGUGGGACUCCAUGGCUCCCCACCUCCUUCCUUAGUUGUCGGCAUUCGGAAGUCCUUAGUCACCCGAGGGAGAAGUUAGGGAGACACCUUCUGAUAUCUUCUUUAUAACCUCUGUGUACACUGCCAUAAAGUGCUGGUUAGAAUUCUCAGCCUUCCCCUGCUCUUCUGCAGACACUCCAUGCUCUGGCUGCCACUUAACCUUCCCCAGCACUUCCUAGUUUCCUGUGCCUCCAAGUCUCUGCCUGUGACCUUCUCCUUGGUUCCCCGGAAUCCACUUUCCAAACAUUUUGUCCAAUUAACAAACUCCUGCUUCUGCCAGGCUGACCUCCAGGCUGACAUUCCUACUGGAGCCUUCAGUAACUCAUACCCACCCCGAGCCAUGCAAAAUUGUAUUCCUCCCUGCCUCAGUUACUGGAGAACACGUUGGUCACACGCAGUAGUGUCUAGAGGAUGAGCUCCUGUAAUACAGAGAGCUUAUACCCUUAUCUGCGGCACAUUGCCUAGCACAUAGCAGUCUUUACAUAUACAUUUUGUGGAAUAAAUGACCUUCCAAAUUCUAGUUUUCUCUACUUAAUGUUGCCAAUUAUACCAACUUUAUGAAUAAAUCACCAUAAGCAUACUUUUAUCAUCUCUAUUAUGAAAAAACACACAUGUUUGAUAGAUUUAUUGGCAGAUUAAGAGGAAAUUUAUUCAUUCAACCAAAAAGGCAUGUGGUGUGUGUGUGUGUGUUGUGUUCAUGUAUACACCACACAGAACAAUAUCUAUAAUAGGGAAGGUGUACAAGAAGUUUUAAUUUAUCCUUUUACUAGGUCAUUGGAUAAAAUAAAAAUACUAAUUACACAUUCAUGUUUUUAAAUGCUUGUAAUGUUCAAAAUGCCAAAGCCUUUAAAAAAUCCACCAACUAAAAAUGAUUUCCUAAAUGUAGUAAAAUGCUAUAGUCUGUGUCCUGGUAGUUAAGCACAGAGAUAUUUGACAAGUGCUUAAUACAGUGUGCUUAGAGUUCUAAAUAGUGUCUCAAUAAAGAACUAAAGAAGCUCAAGAGUAAUGAAAUAAUAAGGCAGGAAAAAUGUAUUCAAAGAAUAAACAUCAGUUAUAAGAAAAAUGUAUUAAUGUUUGAGGUAUUCAGAGAAUUUGUUCUUAAAUGGCAUCUUUGUAAAAGAAAAAAAGGCCAAUCUAAGUAAGAACAAGUGUUAAAUCCCCCAAGUCUUCAGUUUAGGUAUAAAUUUGGACUAAACUUUGUGGAAGACUUUGGGAGAGAGAAAGUGAGCGUAAAGACAUUCUUUUCAUAAGUUGGAUUAUUAACAGAUAUGUGAUUAUUUUCACAGAAAGUAUAGACUCAGUGAUGAAAAGAAGUUUUCUUCUGUCUUGAAGUAUGAUAAGCAGAGAUCCCAUUCCUGAACAUGACAUGAGUGGAUACACUGGAAGAACCAAAUUUCCAAAGGGCCUGUGUAGGAUAAUUUUCAAAUGUAAUACAUAAAGUAAGAGUUGUAAAUUCGUUGGCGCGAUCUGAGUCACUGUUCUCAUCGCUGAGACAAAGUACCCAACACUCACAGUUUAGGGAGGAGAGAGUCACUUGGGCCCAGUCCAUAGUCGCCUGGCGCCAUGGCAGAAAUGGCACCGCAGGAAGGGAGAGCAGAAGAAAGCUGCGUGUGUCACGGCGGCCGUGAAACAAGGAAGAUGGAAGCAGCCCGGGGGAGAUGUGCCCUUCCACUCUCUCCCACUCACCUCUUCCCAACUAGACUGCACCUCCCACCAGGACAGUGCGCUGUAGACUCUCCAGUAGAGGCGUGUAUAGCUCCCCCGUGAUGCAGUCAUUCACAAGGGCCCCAGCUCUGAACACAUGAGCUUUGGGGGACGUUCU
Chinchilla lanigera (long-tailed chinchilla) is the source of this 2742-nucleotide long non-coding RNA. The record is from Ensembl. NCBI's taxonomy places the organism in Eukaryota, Metazoa, Chordata, Mammalia, Rodentia, Chinchillidae.